GGGAAACUCAGUUUUUUUUCUGACACAACUGAGUGAGCCAGACAGACCUCGGGACACAAAAGUAUCAUACACCUAGUACCCCAACCACAGCCUGGGGAACUAAAAACAUCAAACCUCCUGGACUAAAAAGAGAUAAAUAUUUGGAAAAAUCAGGAUUUAUAAUGAACUAAAAUCCUGGGAUUUUGCAUCACACCUUAAUCUAAAGACAUUAAACAAACCUGGACACACUCCAUCAAAGACCGGAAUACAAGGACAGCACACCAUGUCUGGGAUUCAAGGAUUUUCCGUGUUUGCCUUCAUUCAAAUUCUCAGCGUUUCUAUGACCAGUAAGGACUCAUUGCAAAUUAAAAUUUUUAUGUAUAUCUUAUGAACCUCUAAUGCUUAAGAGCAUCGUUCCUCUCUGGGAAUUUACUUGUAACUUAAUUGGUGAAAUGUAAAAGUGAAAUUGCUUUAGUAGAUUGGAGCAGUCUGUCAAUGGAAUGUUCAGAAUUCCAAUGGUCCAUAUACUAAUAAUAGAAGUUAUAUUAUCAGUUUAACUCUUUGUAUAUCAGUAUGGCAUGGCAUGCAAACAAAUCUAAUCUGUAGAAUGUAUGCGUUGCCAAGAAAAAAUAAAUUGUUGAUAAUUAGAAGUAGCAUUUGGCACUAAAAUUUUUUUUUAUAAAUGACUAGAACAAUAAACUUAACAUUUUAGCCCAAUAUUCCCAUUGUGAGUUAUUAAACCAGUAUUGUUUAUUGAUAAUGGAAAAAUAUUGUUAUGGAAUCACAAAAGACAUACAAAAUACAUACCUCCCCCCACGCCCCACCCCAUUCCCCCAGUGAGAUACUUAUAUGACAUAAAUUAAUUGUUAAACUAUCACAAUAAGGCUAUUAUGUUAAUGCAUGUGUUGUUGAACAUCCAAGCUGAUUCCAGCUAUGUCUUCUCUACAGCCUCUGCUGUCUCUAUCAUCAUUUCUCCCCUGGAAAGCAAGAUCGUUGCCCAGAUUGGGGAACCACUUCAUAUAACUGCUGAGGCCACGGACUGCGAAGGCCCUUCAUUUACCUGGUCUAGUCUUAUGGACAAAACAUUAAGUGGCGCUGUCAGCACUAAUGGAAGCAUCUCCAUCCUUAACAUGAUGGUCAGCAUAGACAGUGAAGGUCAAUACGUGUGUAAAGUCUUCUGUAAGAAUGGAAAGUCAGAGAAAACCUUCAGAAUCAUUCCAUACUGUAAGUAUGUUCUAUCUUUUUUUAAUCAAUUCAAACACAUUCAUUGUAAAGCUCACAUUCAUCUUUAUAAACAUCCAAUGUAGUAUUGGAAAAAAAAAAAAACAGUUACGCGGUUUGAUCGGUACCGGAGGACUAGAUAUGAUCAAGUAUGAUGACUUUGGGAGUUCUGGAGAGACUCCACAGUUGUUGUCCAGCCGGUAGCCGUUCAGCUGUCUGUAGAUAAACUAUAACAUCUUAGCUAGAAUUUGGAUGGUUACUGGCUGACUAUGGACCAAUAAAAUAAACUCCCAAACAAUGUAGACAUGCCUAGCCAAUACGAAUUCCUCAAUUGUUAAUAUUAUGGUCAAAACUUGGUAAACACAACAUAUAUUUUGAUUCCUACAAAUGCUUCUCCUUUUAUGAAUGACAGAUAUCGUUGGGCUAUUAUGUUAGCAUUCAAACUGUAAUCUAUUUUCACAAUACUGAUUUGCACGCUGUUAUUGUACACACGGUAAAAUUGGACUGCAUGUGUCUCACCUUUCUUUAUUUGAUAAUAUGCUACAGGUGUGAUACAAAUGACUUUUAUGGUGGAGACACAUCUGGCAUAACAUAAACAAAUAUUUUCAAAUCUCCUAGUGAUAGUGCUGUAAAGUGAAAACGUAGAAGCAAUUUAUUGAUAUAAGAAUUUGGAGAGGUGGAGAAGUGGAAUUAUGUUGCGGAGGCAAGGAAUGGAAAAAGAAUGGAGAGAAACAGAAAUUUGGAAUAGUAGAAGAGAGAGAGUAAUUGAGUGGCAAUGGUGGAAGGAAUAAAAUAUGGGUGGUUUCCUAGAAGUGAAUUGAAUAGAACAAGGGUACAAACAGGGUGGGUAUUGAAAAGGGAGUGAUUAGCAUUAGGCAAAGGAGAUAUGUGUGUAAAAGAUAUAUGCAAAAAGGGAAAAGUGGAUUAGGAGUAUUUAUGGGAGGACAGCAAAUUGAAUAUGGGGAUUGAGAAAACUGGUAUGGGAAAUAGAAAUGCAAAGUGAGAACAGAGUGUGGGGGGACAUAAGGGAUACCUGAAAUUAUAUUAAAGGGUCACUUUACUGCCCCAAUUCAAAAAAAUAACAACCACUUUUAAGUAGAUAUGUCGCCAAUGAAAACAUGCAGGAAUUUAAUUAAAGGACCACUAUAGUGCCUGGAUAACAUAUUUGUUUUCCUGGCACUAUAGUGCCCUGAGAGUGCCCCCACCCGCAGAGUCCCACUCCCGCCCGGUUAAAUCUUACCUUUUUUCCUGCGCCAGGCGGGGAGCUCUCCUCCUCCUCUCCGCCUCCUCUUCGGGUGAAUGCGCAUGCGCGGCAGGAGCUGUGCCUAGAGUGGUCCUUUAAGCAUUUUUUUCACUGGGGGACUAUCUAAAAACUUACACAAGCUGUAGAUCUCUUGUCUGCAGUCUUUGCAAGCCCUCCCCUUCUUCCCCAGUCCAGAUUUUAUGUUGCUGUCCAACCACAGACUUUCCAAUGCAGCUCAAUGAGAAGUUUUUGCAAGACAGGUGCUCUGGCUCUUCGAGUUGUGAUUGACAGCCAGUGAGAUUUAACAACAUGAAUUUAUAAAAGUGCCAAUUUCUAAUGAAAUCUGCCCUUCUAGUAUUUUAGUAAAAUGAAAACAGAGAAUUUACUCUUCACUUCAGCAAGCUAAAGUUCUUCAGAGGUCUGGAGAGUAGUAGCAGCGACAUUCCAUGUAUUUUAUUUUUAUAACAUGAUCCAUGAGAUUGUGAUAAGCUAGGACAAAUUCAUAGAUGGAAGUGCUAAAUCAUGCAUUUAUUUCCAUUUAAACAACUGUAAAUUACUCAAUAUAUUAUAUAUGCACUUAAUAAUGCAUUACAGACCCUUUACCAUCAUAGUAACAUAGUUAGGUAGCUGAAAAGAGACUUGCGUCCAUCAAGUUCAGCCUUCCUCACAUAGGUUUUUUGUCUGUUGAUCCAUGAUAAUGAUUUUAGUUUUUAGAUUUCAUCUGUAGAAUGUUAGACACUGCUCAGAACUCUCCAACACAAUCUUAUAUUUUAAGAGAGUGAUCUUUUUACAUAAAAAUGCAUCACUUUUUUGUAUAUGUAUAUGCUGCUAUUUCUAAUUCACAGAUUAUGAUAAAGUAAGACUAAGCAUGCCUGAUACAAAUUGUUGUGGUAAUCUCUUUCUCAGAACAGAAUUGAUUAUAGUUUUUGUCACAUCACAGCGUUUCCCAGUGACCCUGUGCUGCAGGUGUCCUCUUUGGUGGUUGGCAUUGAGUCCACGAUUACCUGUGCAGUCCCCUAUGUGUAUCCUACAGAAAUGAUGGCUGUACAAAUUCUGAAGAAUCAAAAGGUAAUUGCUGAAUCGGACUUACAUACCAUAGUGGAUGACAGACUCCAAACCAAAAACAUCAGUGUAUCACACAGCUGGAUCCCCGAAGAAGAAAACGAGAGCCAUCAAAUACUAUGUGUGGCACGACUGGAAUUUCCCAGUGGAGGGAUUCAUCCAAAGACAAGAGACACCAGAAUGAUUCUUAAUCUUAUCUGUAAGUGGCAAGUUUUUUGGCAAACAUGCCUUUAUUUCUAAGUGAAACUGACUAGGCUUGAUCUUAAGAUCCUUCAAUUCAGGUGUUCUUACAAGUGAUUUUUUGUGUGACAUCAAAUAUUGUUUCUUUAUCAUCUACACAGACACCAUUCUUUUUUUCUCUAUGCAUUUGCAAUUCUCCGAUGUACAUAAAAAAUAAACUUAGGACUAUCAAGGUAUUUGUUUGUACACACCAUCUUCAAAUAUACUUUUAAGAACUGAAUGGCAAAACUGAGGUUAAAAUGGCCAAUUUAGAAAAAAUAUCCCAUUCAGCAACAAUCACAUCAUGGUUGUUUUGUCCUAAAGUUGGCUAUUUGGAUAUCAAUUCUCUUUAUCCCACAGUUUAGUUAAUAAACGUUUAGAAUUGUUGAUAUCUUUUGGAUUCUUUUAUGCAACACUUCUCAAUGUACAGCAAUGCUAAUUAGCAAUUUGCAGAACUGUGAAGAUGAGAAUAAUCUGUGUGAAUUUUCAUUUUAUUCUUCAACAGAUGGCAUUAUUGUGCCCCUAACAAUGGUAACCUCCAUUUUGUUGCAAUGUCACCACUUGCUAGUCCUCUGCAUAGUAUGUGAACUACAUAGGCUGGACCCUUUUUUCUUUUCCAAGGUCAAAUUAAUUUUAUGUGUUAGAAAGGUGGUUGCAGAUUACAUAUACAGAGAAGGAUGAUAAAUGCAGAUAACUAAAAGUAUUUUUCCUAUAACUUAUCAAUUCAUACAUUUAUCAGCAAGCACAAAUCUGUCUGUGAUGUUCUAUGUGAUUUAAAUGUAUAAAUAAGUAUCAAACCAAGAAACAAGAGUUUUUACAACACAUUGUUUCUCCUGAUACCCAUCUGUGUAAAAUGGUUCCACACUUUAUAUAAAUCUAUCUAUCUAUCUAUCUAUCUAUCUAUCUAUCUAUCUAUCUAUCUAUCUGUCUGUCUGUCUCUGUCUGUCUGUGUAAAGUUCCUCCAUGACCUGAACACAAGACCAAACACUACCUCACCAUGAACGAAAUAGCAAAUCAACAGGUUAAAAAAAUGUAGAUAUUGGUUCUUGUUAGAUGUUAACGGAUCAUCAGUUUUCUAUUAGUGAAAUACUAGCAUGAUAACCACAAAGUCAGAUAUUCAUGCAUCAACCCUAAAACGUUGACAUUGUGGUACAUGUUAUGAGACUAAGGUAAAAGACUGAGGAAAAAACCCAAAACUCACAUUUGCAUGUAUUUUUAAGAAAUUCCACCGUCUUCCACCUUCUGUGUUUUUAGAUCCACCUGGAAAUAUCAGUAUGGUAGUUCACCCAUCAACGAAGGUGAAAUGGAUGGAGACAAUAUCUCUGAGCUGUACGUGUGAUAGUAGAACUCCAGUCAAAAUAUGGUGGGUUAAGCAGAGAGGAGGUGAAACUUUAAAGAUUGCAUCUGAUGGGAACAGCAGUCUGGAAAUCAAUCAAGCACAAAUGGAAGACUCUGGCGAAUACAUCUGUUAUGCAGAGAAUGCUGCAGGGAAAAAAUCCGCUUCUGUUGAAAUCACAGUACAGAGUAAGAGACUUUUAAACAGUACCAUAUUUUUACCUUUGUUGAUGCUUAGAAAUUCCAUAUACUGCUCCAUAUAAUCAAUCACAAUAAAAGAAAAAUCUUAUUCUUGUACCACUCCUACUAUGGCAUCCAACUAACUCCUCUUCCUAUCACUACAGCUAUUAUUAUUAUUAUUAUGAUAUUUAUAGAGCGCCGUCAAAUUCUGCAGCGCUUUACAUAUGGCAUAGUACCUCCUUUUGCUCCCUAUAUCAUAUCCCAACAAUUCUUCCUAAUAUCUAUAACCCUAUACGACCUUAUUAUUUAGGAACAUGUUACCUAUGAUUUCCCAAUACCAUCUGCAUAAACCAUCAUACAGAAACGCAUCUGGUUGCCAUCAUGUAACCCUCAUCCUAUUGUUCUUCCAUAGACAUUUCCAUUUUACUCUUGCUUUUGUCCUACAUCAAGCCCUCAAUAAAACAUUUUCAUGUAGGCCUAUAAAAUGACAACAUGAAAAAUAACAGCAUAUGUAUAACUCAAUGCUGACAAUCAUUAUGAGAGACACUAAUAACACCAUAAGUUUACCCACAUUGAUCACCAAAUACAUUCAUUGUUUGUAUAAGCAUGUCUAUUUCUGCUUCUUUGCUGUUCUUAGCUCUCCCAGAUAAACCUACAAUCACCAUCAAACCAGAUACAUCAGUGACUCUGGGACAGACAGUUACAAUUGCAUGCUCUGUGAACAGCGGAACUUCAGCAAACAUUACCCUAUGGUUGGUGACAGAAAAUGAGAAUAAACUCUUAAUGGACAAUAAGGAUGUCUUUGAGAUACAGUCAGUACAAAUCCAAGAUGGUGCCACAUACCUUUGCCAAGCAGAGAAUCCUUUUGGAAAAGCAGAGGCAACAAAAACCCUUACUGUGAAAUGUAAGUAUGUGGAGUAAGCUUUUAGGAUGAUCUGCAUGUUGGAGCUUAACUAAGAUUUGGUGUCUGAUAAGAUCAGAUUUUUUUUAUUUUUUUUUUAAAGUUCAUUAGUUAAUGUAUUCACAUGUAUGUUAGAACAUAUAACAGUUUGUAAGCACCUCAAUGUUUUGCCAACUGGCUGUCUGUUAGUGAAGUUUGAUCGUGGUUCUACUAUCAAGAAUUCUUAUAAAUCCUUCUAAGUGCAGCAUUCUAAAAAAAUAAUACUGUAAGCUUAAACCAUUUUGAGCAAAUGGUGAAUCAACACAGUGUGACAUUAUUAUUUUUCCCCAGACUCCGCAGAUUCCUGGAACACUACAAUUUAUUACUUUCUGAAUAAUGUAAGCAAUACACAUAUGGGAUACAGCUAUGGAAUCUAAAAAGAACAUAGACAAAACAUAGUGUAAUACAAUUUUAACAAAUAAUGUGUGCUGUACAAAAAUGCACUCACAAGAUGAAGACGUGUUAUGCGCUCAAAGGGUGCCUCCCCCAAUGUAAUUGGGGAGCUAUGGGUCCCCCUCCACUGUCUGCAGGAUAGCAGAAAAUCAGGACUCCGAUGGUAGUAUAAAAUAGCGGCUAAAUCAAAUAAAAUUGGUAAAACGGCAGUAGUUGUGGUCUUACGUAUUUCGUUCCACACUUGGAACUUCCUCAGAGACCAUAAAAUCAAAGUAAAUUACAGAUCCACAGGCUGUUAUCUUUGUAUAACCAUCUGUAAUUUAGUAGACCACAACUACUGCUGUUUUACCAAUUUAAUUUAUAAUAAAAACCGCUUUUUUAUACUACCAUCCGAGUCAUGAUUUCCUGCUAUCCUGCAGACAGCGGAGAGGGAUCUAUAACCCCCCAAUUACAUCGGGGGAGGCACCCUUUGAGCGCAUAAUAUGUCUACAUCUUGUGAGUGCAUUUUUGUGCAGUGCACACUAUUUGUUAAAAUUGUCUUACACUAUGUUUUGUCUAUGUUCUUUUUAGAUUCCGCAGCCUUAUCCCAUUUGUGUUUUGCUUGUAUUCUGGUCUAAAGAUCACUAACUGGGAAGUGAUCCUUGGGAGGCUGUCCACUUUAUUUACCUGAUAAGUAUAUUGCAUAUUUAUUUCACACUAUUCAUACGUGAUUGUGGUGAUAGUAUUGUUUUGUUUUCUUUCUGAAUAAUGUAACUGCAGGGGAAGUAGAAACUUUGCAACAAUACUUUAAUUUAUUGUUUUGUAACAUAUUUUUUCACCCAACAGUUCCACCCACUAACACACAAGUAAGAUUCACACCGUCUGCAGAAGUGAGCGAGGGCGAAUUUGUCCACGUUAUAUGCAAAUCAACUGGUUUUCCCAUCCCUGAGUUGAUCCUAAAGAAAAAGACUGAUGUUGACUUACAGGUGUUACAAAUGGCUGAUGGAGAAUACUGGAUUGAAAGUGCUACAGCAGAGCAUGCAGGAACCUAUAUUUGUGAAUCAAGGAAUGAUAUUGGAAUUGAAAGUACAGAAGACACACUCACUGUACAAGGUACGAAAGUAAAAAAAUUGCAAUAGAAACCAAGAAACCUUGAUGUUUUAGCAGUGCUAUAGUUCUACUGGAUAUGGUACUCUACCUUUUGGCCACUGGUGGCAUUGAUCUAUUCCUCCAAAGAGUUUCUAAAUUGGGUUCCUUCUCUCAACAGUUUCACCCACAAACACACAACUAAUCAUCCUGCCAUCAUCAUCGGUGAAGGAAGGAGAAUCAAUCAGCAUCUUCUGCAAUUCAACAGCAUUUCCACCACCUGAGAUCAUCCUAAAGAAGAAGACUGAUGUCGGCCUACAUGAGUUACAAAUUGCUCAAGGAGAACACCGGAUUCAAAGUGCUACAGCAGAGCAUGCAGGAACCUAUAUAUGUGAAUCAAGGAAUCAUAUUGGAAUUGAAAGUACAGAAGACACACUCAUCGUACAAGGUAUGAAAGCUACAAAUGUGCAUUCGAAACUGAGAAUAAAUUUCUUUGUAAUAAAGAGUUGCAUAAUGUUAUACAUUUUAACAUUAUAUUGUUUAUAUUUGUAAACAAUUGGCUCCCAAAAAUCCAAAAAGUAAAUUACAAUAUUGAGUGCUUUCUAAUUCUAUAAAGCCAUACAAUGCUAAUUUUCUAUUGCGUCCUUUCUCUCAUCAGUUUCAGGGCUGCAAAACUACAACUCCAUUGAUACUUUGGCAGUGUUGUAGUUCUACUAUACCUGUGGCUCUAUAUUUUGGCCACUGGUAGCAUUGAUCUAUUCCUCCAAAGAGUUUCUAAAUUGUGAUCUCUCUCUCAACAGUUCCACCCAAAAACACACAACUAAUCAUCCUACCAUCAUCAUCGGUGAAGGAAGGAGAACCAAUCAGCAUCGUCUGCAAAUCAACAGCAUUUCCACAACCUGAGAUCAUCCUAAAGAAGAAGGGUCUGGAGUUAGAAAGUUAUAAUGAAGUUAUCCAUAUUAAAAGUGUUAAAGUGGAGGAUGCAGGGACCUAUAUAUGUGAAUCCACGAAUGUUGUUGGAUUUGAAAUCACAGAAACAACACUGAAUGUACAAGAUAUGAAAGAAGGUAUGAAAUAAAGAAAUAUUCAUGAACAUGCCCAUGCACUAAAGGAUACGCUGUUUUAGACACUGUUAGUUAUGUGUUAGAUUAUUUAUGGGUCAGUUACAUAAAUGUUUAUAUAUCAUUAUUCUGAUAAUAGUCAUAUGUAAAGAUGUAAUCAUGAUUAUUCAACCCCCAUUAAAAAUAAGGUUUAUUGUCAAAUUUUACAGAUAUUCGGCUGUUUGCAAUGAACAAAUCAAACAAAAGCAAUAUAAAUAACUUGGCAAAAAGAAUGUUUUAAGUGAUUUCCCCAAAUUCAACUAAAAAUGCAACUUGUAAUGGCUUUUCCAGUCUUAAAAUGAUUCAACUCAAGCAUUGUUAGUAUUUAGUAGAGCACCAUUUUGCUGCUAUGACCUGCUGCAAUUGACAAGCAUAGCCAGAUACAACUUCUAGCAAGGGAUCUUAGCACAUUGCUCAUGAAAAAUGGCCUCCAGUUCAGUAAUAUUCUUGGGUUUGCUUACGGAAACCAUCUUCUUUUAAUCCCACCAGAGAUUUUCUAUGGGGUUCAAGUCAGGUGACUGUGAUGGCCACGGUAACAUGACUUCUUCUGCAACCAAGCCUUGGUGGAAUUUGAUGUAUGAUUGGGAUUAUUGUCUUGUUGUAAGAUUAAAUGACCCCCACGCUUAAGCUGCUUCGCCUGACAUUUUCUGAUAGGAUUUCCUGAUACUUCAAUGAAUCCAUGCCUUCCACAUGUUGUAGGUUUCCAGUGCCAGAUGAUUCAAAGCAGCCUAAGAGCAUCAAUGAGCAACCACCAUGCUUAAUUGCAGGCAUAAUGUUUUUUUCAAUGUAUGCUUCAUUCUUCUUCCUCGAGACAUACCACUAAUCCACUGGGCUGAAAAGUUCGAGUUUUGUAUCAUCACUCCACAGAACAGAAUGCUAAAACUACUGUGGCUUAUUUACAUGAUUUUGAGCAUAUUGGAGCUGAGUUUUCUUGUGCUUUUGAUGCAGUAGUGGUGUACAUCUUGGAGUUCUGGCAUGGAAACAUUCUGCAUUUACUGUGUUUACUGAAACCAUCAGUGCCUAUUGCCACAAAGUCUUGCUGCAGGUCUUUGGCAGUUACUAGAGGUUUUUUCACAACCUGCUUUCUCAGAAAUCUUGUUGCAGCCAUUGAUAGCUUCCUUUAUCUGUUCUGUCCAGGUAGUGUAACCACUGUUCUUUCUACUUCAAAAUUGUGAAUUAUGCUUCCAACGUAUCUCUAGGAACAUUUUGUGCCUUUGUUAUCUUUCUGUAUCCUGUUCCUUGUCUGUGAAGGGUGAUGAUCUCUUCUUUUAACUUUGUGGACAAUUGUUUUGACUUAUACAAACAAGCACAAUGUGCACAAAAUCAAUGUAAAAUACACCCUCCAGAAAACAGAAGAUAAGAUACUUUAACACGGAAUGUUGAUGGCAGGUAAGUAUCAGCAAUGCCUAAAAAAGAAAAUAGCACAUAGUGUGUACUGAUUAACAACUGGAAAUUAUGUAUGAUAAAUGAUUACACUCAUGAAUUCCAGAGCCGUACCAGACUCUGGAAUGAUGGGCACAUUAUUAUAUAAGUAUCUUAUCUUCUGUUUUCUGGGGGGUGUAUUUUACAUUGUGUUUGUGCACAUUGUGGUUGUUUGUAUUCUCAUUGUAUAGGUGUUGGGGAUACACCUACUCAUACCCUCUCUCUCUCUCUCUCUCUCUCUCUCUCUCUCUCUCUCUCUAUAUAUAUAUAUAUAUAUAUAUAUAUAUAUAUAUUCCACUUCUAAGAAGUGCCAUGCUUGUAUAUAUCUUAUAAUUGUUUUGACUUGGCCAUACUUUAAAGGAACACAAACAUGUAUUCCUGACUCUAAUGUGCAAAACCCAUCAUUAAGCUGGCUUGCCUCCCCUUACCCCCCUUAAACGCAUGAAAAACUCACCUUAUUUCCAGCGCUGUGCGGGUCUGCCUUGGUGACAUCAUCAGAAUUGCCAAUUUUUAGCCAAUCAGCAUUGGAUUGGCUAAAAUCGGCGAGGGGCGUGGCCAAAUGCCAUUUUGGCCAAUCAGCACCUCCUCAUGAGGAAAAUUCAAUGUCCCCGUGCGGAGCGUGGGGAAGCUGAACGGCAGAGCUGCCUACUGUGCAGCACUGCGUCAGGAAGCACCUCCAGUGGCCAUCUGAGGAGUGGCCACUUGGAGGUGUCCCUAGGGGCAAUGUACACACUGCCUUUUCUCUGAAAAUGCAGUGUUUGCAUGAAAAUGCCUGAAGGAAGUGAUUUUACUCACCAGAACAACUACAUUAAGCUAUAGUUGUUCUGGGGACUAUAGUAUCCCUUUAACAUGCAGUCAAACGUGACACUCAACAAACACCCUAUCCAGUUCAGGUAUUUCAAGUGUUCCACCUCAAGCCCACCGGGUGCAAUGAAUGAAACCCUUGAUUAUAUGCACCGGGUCUGCUUGAGAUAACACCUGUUAUGCAUAUUUGUGCUGUUGUGAGGGAUUCUAUUCAGAGGGUUGAAUAUUUUAUUUUAAUAAGUCAUUAUAAGUUGCAUUUUUAGUUGAAUUUGGAGAAACCACUUGAUGCAUUCAUUGUUGUGUUGUGUUUCAAUUGCUUUUGUUUGAUUUGUUCAUUGCAAACAGCUGAAAGUCUGUAAAUUUUGACAAUAAACCUGAUAAACCUGAUUUUCAAUGGCGGUUGAAUCAUUUUGAUCAUGACUGUCAAAACAUAUUGGCGAUAGGAACACUACACAUUUUAUACAACAUAUCACGCUCAAUCCAUUAGAAACAAUAACAUUCUGCACCAUUCUUUCAUUCAGACUAUUGGUUAUAUGGAUAUCUCCAUCUCUGUAGAACCCUCAUUUAGCGGAGUUAAAAAUGUAUUCCAUGUCAGAAUAGGAUCGUAAAACGGAGAAAGAAACUCAUAGGGUAGUAACGUUGGUUCUAGAAAACCCCAGAAUGCAAGGUUGCUAUCACAAAGUAGCACAAAAUUCAGGGUCAUCAAUGGUAUGUAGAUUCCACCAGAUUCAGCUAUGUUCAGAUAUCCAAUAAUUCAUGUAAAGAGAAUAUAAAAGAACAUGAAAAGAGCAACACUAAUAUGACAUUGAAACACACGCUUUAAUGGUUACACUUAGUAUAGAUCAGUAAAAAAAAGCCAAUCAGUACAAUCCUGUAGUCCCCAGUCCUGUUCCUGAUGAUGUAGGAUAGAGGAGUCCUCACAGGUACCAUAGGCAGAAAUAGCAGCAUAUAAAACAAUAAUCACAAUAAAAUACAAAAAAAUAACCCUCACUCCACGCGUUUCAUGUAAUUACUUUAGACUUUAUCAGGAGUAUUAAAAGUGCUAAGUAGUGCAUUAAUUAAAGUGCUGUAGUCUGUAGAAACCAGAGCCGUCCUUUAAAUAGCCCUCUCUCAUAUGGCAAUUCAUGAAUUGUCUGCUACUUUGUGAGUGCAACCUUGAAUUCUGGGGUUUUCUAGAAUCAACGUUACUACCCUAUGAGUUUCUUUCUCCAUUUUAUGUAUAUCCUGUUGUUUGCUAUUUGUGUUGGAGGAUUGAGAGGAAUCCUUUUGUUAUACCUUACAUCUAAGAGGGGCAAUUACCUUUUUGUAUUGAUUGUAUAUAUAUUGCACCUGGGUGGUUUAUAUUCUGAUUAUUUUUUUGACAGAAUGGGAUCUACACAGACCAAAUGUGUUACAACAACAUGAACAGUUGUAGAUUAAUGUAUAUUUUAAUAUAAUAUAUAAACUAUUUUCACAGUUUUAUUAUUCUCUUAAUUAAAUUUGUGGUCCUGCCUUUUUAGUUGCCUCUGAAAACACAACGGUAGUUGUAAUACCAUCGGAGAAUGUCACAGAAGGUGACACCGUCACAAUUACCUGCGAGACCUACAGCAUACCCUCCCCAACCAUCCUUCUGCAGAAAGUGUGUGCGGAAAAUAAUACUAUCAUGCAGGCACAGAAUGGCACCUUCACCUUGCGUAAUGUCACCCUCAAAGAUACUGGGAUGUACACAGUCAGCAUAAUUAAUGAAGCAGGGAGAAGGACCAAAGUUAUUGAGAUCAAUGUUCUAGGUCAGUAGAAUGUACAUAUUAACAAUAAGUAAAAAUAACAAAUUAAUAAUAAUUAAUAUUUAGGUCUAUCUAAAUUAUAUUAAAUUGGACAAAGAGUAUAUAAAUACUAAGAUGAAAUCUGAAGCACCCAGCUCUCUAUAUUAAAAGUAAAAUAAAUAUAUAUCAUAAAGUAAAUUUGUAUAAAUAAAAAAAUAUAUAUAUUUAUACUUUACUAAGACAGUACACUGAUAUUUCCAGGGUACAUAUUGCAUUGGUAAACAGCAUAAAAACGUUUUCAGGGAGAACAACAAACUCAGUCAGCUGACUAUUGUGAUAGAAAUGAAGUCAACAUUCAACAGGAACAUGCCCAUCUAUUGUCAGCAAGAACAGCUUUUCCAGAAAUAGGAAAUCACAUCCGAGUGACAAAAUUCUGCAUUAUACAAAUUUUAAAAGAAAACAGGGAUAAUAUUUUCAGAUUGUUGAAGUGAUCUUUCAUUAGAACACAUCAAUGUUAAGAGAACUCCAUCAUGUUAACAUAAGAGUCCCGUAUUAAUCUGGAAAUAAUCUCAUGUAUCUAUUUAAGUGUGCUACUUAGCACAUAUUGUAGAAAGAGAAUUAAAAACAUCCGGUUAUUGCAAAAGUAAACUUGCACCUCACCAUUCAUCCUUUCUGGUCAUCCAGAAUUUCUUUACUUUCUGGACUGAUUAGAUAAAACGUUGAAGAUGUUGAGCUGAUCAGAAUUACUUCAUACGAUGACUACUUGUUGCUCUGUUGGAUCCAAAUGCAGGGCAAAUAUUAAAUUUCUUACCAAAUCUACAAAAUCAUAAAUUUUGAUAGCAGAAUAUACAGAUUAAAUUACUUCAAUUUAAUGGGAUGUCACUCACAAAUGGGGUCACUUUAAAUGGUUUCCCUGUUCUGUUAAUAUUCUGCAAUUCUGUAUCAGUCUAAAUUAUUGAAUAGGUUUAUUCAUAUGGCUAGACAAGUAAACUUCGCUGCACAUAAGGGCACUCUGGCAAUAUAAAUUGUGUUGUGUAUCUCUUGCAUGCAGUCUAACAGGGGUUUUUUUUGAGAAUUUUUGAGAAUGUUCUUUUGAGAGUAACAUCUGGAGAUGAAGAUUCAAUAGACAGUACAUUAUGUAACGUAGGAGCCCAAAAUAUCUUCUGAAACUACAAAAUUACAGAAAGAUUUCAUUUCAAAUCCAUUCUUAGAGGCACAUAUGUAUUGUGUUUUGCUUAAGGCGAAGUUAAUGCACAAGAUAGAGGAGCAAUAACAUAUGGUAAUUCAUGUAGCUUACCGUAAUUCUCUUAAGUACAAUGAUCUAAGUUUAUUAAGCUUUCCAAAUAAUUCAAUACUGUUAUAAAAACCUUCCAUGUGAUUAAUCUACAGGGGUCACCAUUAAACACUAUGGGAUUUUUUGUAGAUAAAUUGUCCAAUAGUAUAGAAUAAUUGGAAAGCUUGUUAAAUCAAUGCCAAAAAUAUUUAAAUUCCAAAUUGUGUUUCAAGUGUCAUUAUUGUUGUCGCGGAGCAAUCCUCAUAAUUACACUCUGUGGUUUCCUAUAAGGUGACAAUAUGAAAUCAUUACCAUAUUAUUAGCCUAAAUUUUACAAACCUCUUAAUUUUAGUCUCAAGACUAAGUCUAUCUGGGGUCAAAUCCUUCUUUGGGGAGAUGACAUUGCUUGAGCAUUUUCUAGUUUUGUUUUGUUUGUUUUUUACAGAUUCAAGUAUGAACGUUAGUGUGUGUGUCUAAUUAUGUGUGUUAGUGUGCAGCUGUGUAGGUGUCUGAGUCUGUAUCUAGGUAUGUGUGUGCACGUGUCUAUGUAUAUAUUAUUGAGUAUAAUGCUAAAAAUGGAAGUGUUUGUGGCUAAUUUGAACUGUAUAAGUGGUUAAUUAUGUAUGCAUUUGUGGCUUUUUAGGUAUAUGCUUACAUGAGUAUGAUUAAUUAAGUUUGUGUAUGCGUCUUCAUAAUGUAGGGUUUGGUUUGCAGUGUGGGGUUUGGUUUCCCCCUUGGUUUUUUUCAACAAAAUUUCUUAGGAUCACUUUAUAUAGACUCCUCAAGGGACUUGUACUUUAGCAAAUCAGAGAGCAUGCCAUUUUUGAAAAGUGGCAAUUAUUUUGAUAACUGAUAAUGUUUGACGUAAUAUUUUAUACCAAGUGUUUACCAGAAGCAUGCACUUUCCAAUUUUGUCUUUAGCCCAUGAUCAUGACAUGUUACUCUAUAUAUCAAUGACACUGUCAUUAAAUUUUUUUACGUUUAUCUGCAGUCAUCUUCUCUAAUUGUUUUGUAACCACACUCUUAUUCCUUCUUUCAGAGCGUCACGAAAGCCCGAAACCUAGCUACAUGUUCCCAAUUAUAAUGUUAUCCGUGGCUGCAGUGUCAGCAUGUGUCAUAUGUUUAAUCAUUUAUCACAUGAAACAAGCGAAGUUACAAGGGUCGUACAGCCUCGUGGAAGCUCUCAGAAGUAAAGUGUAAACAGAAUGACUGACUUUAGAAAUUCUUUGGAAAUACAUUUUGCACAGACAUAAAACUAUCACGUGUUUUCACAAAUAACUAAAUAUUAGAAAACUCCUAUAUCUACUGCAGUACAAUGUGAAAUGGCUGGCGUGGAAGAUCCAGGGGUAAACUUUUCCAAAUGUCUCUGGUUGUCAUGUCAUAAAUCUUGGGCACUCAUGAGGCCACAUAAGCAUCUACUUAUGUGAACACCUGAGUCAUAAAAAGAACAAGAGAAUGAAAGACAAACCAUGUCAAUGACCUCUUAAGAACUGUUUUUGCACUUACUCAUAGAAAUCUACUUUAUAAAUAAUGUUGUGAUUGUAUGUUUGUAUUUAGUGUUUAGAAGCUGCUGUUAUUUAUUUUUUUCUACUUCUUCACUGUCAUUUGUUGUUUCUUUUGAGUAAAUUCUAAAUGUCUUUUGAAUGUAAUGGACGUUUUGUGUUUAUAUCACUUGUGUGUUAAAUUGUAAUUCUUAUUCUGCCCUCGUAGUUGUGUUGGCCUUUGCCACAGUCAUUUCUUGAUAAUUGAUGUAGAAAUUGAAAUGGAUAGAAACCAAAAUCACAAAACAUGAAAUGGCAUCAGAAUGGAAGCUAAAACUAAAUUAGAAGUGUAAUCAUUACAUUAGGCAUUAAGUUGCUUUUUCAGAACCAAACAUCAAGCUACUAGUUACUUUCAUAUUAUAUUUAGCUAUUACGGUUGCUCAGUUCAUAAACAGAAUUGUUGGUGGUAAAGCUUGAUUUAAUUUUACACCCCAUAUAUUUGUGAACUAAAUUUUCUAUGAUGCCAGAUUUUGGGAUGAGUGGCUGAGCAUUCUGGGAAAAAUAGUUUACAAAAUACCUGUAAGUCAAGAUUCCCUAUCACUGGUACAGUUGUAAUGUACGAAAUGUCUUCACCAACUGCAGGCAGUCAUGACAUCGCACGUUAUGGUCUCUGUACGAGACGAGAAGACCUUCUAGGUGAGCUGAAACUUGAAAAAGAUAGGAAGUCCACUGGAAAAAUGUAGAAAUGUCUUGACUAUAUACUGCUGUUGGAAUUGUUCUCUGAAAGAAAUGGGAAAAAAUACAAAAUACAAAUAUUUCUAAAUAGGAGAAAAUAUUGGGCAGGACAAGAUGUGGUAAUUAAUUUUGCAGCUAGGCGUUCAAGUAAAGGUUAUAAGAAUAACAAUAGUUAUAUUUGCUAAUCUUGCUGUCUGAGCACUGUCUUGAAGAAUAACCUAGAUAAUGAAGAUGCAAGCUUCAUUCACUCAUGCCUUGCAUUCUGCGUUCUAUAUUUAAAAGAAGAAAAACUACCACAACAAGAGGACAUAGUCUUAGAUUAGAGGGGCAAAGGUUUAAAAAUAAUAUCCGGAAGUAUUACUUUACUGAGAGGGUAGUGGAUGCAUGGAAUAGCCAUCCAGCUGAAGUGGUAGAGGUUAACACAGUGAAGGAGUUUAAGCAUGCGUGGGAUAGGCAUAAGGCUCUCCUAGCUAUAAGAUAAGGACAGGGACUAAUGAAAGUAACUGGAAAAUUGAGCAGACUAGAUGGACCGAAUGGUUGUUAUCUGCCGUCUAUGUUUCUAUGUUCAAUGGAGCACACUGUGAGCAGUGUAAAGUGUGGUUACACGUAGCGUUUAGAACUCAAGACCUAUAGACUGUAACUCAUGUAAGAAUGUUAAGAGUCGCAAUCCACAAUCAAAUCUAGUAUGUCCUCUGGAUCACGAGGUUUACCACUUCACUCCAUGCUUUUAAAAAAAGUGCUCUUUCAUGAGAAAUGCUGACCAACAACUGCUAAAUAUGACCAUACUUAAUGCGAUAGAGACUGAAUUAAUAGUGUAUUUAUUGUGCUUCAAUUUUAUUUCAGAAAAUAAAUGGUUGAUUCAUAA
This is a non-coding RNA of Pelobates cultripes (western spadefoot toad), 17059 nucleotides long. NCBI's taxonomy places the organism in Eukaryota, Metazoa, Chordata, Amphibia, Anura, Pelobatidae. The record is from the annotation of a GenBank genome assembly.